This 205-nucleotide ribosomal RNA is filed under the name uncultured bacterium. Its description in RNAcentral is "partial 16S ribosomal RNA". It matches the Rfam family "Bacterial small subunit ribosomal RNA", at positions 1288 to 1500 of the family's 1533-position model. The record is from RNAcentral.
UCAGUUCGGAUCGGAGUCUGCAACCCGACUCCGUGAAGCUGGAUUCGCUAGUAAUCGCGCAUCAGCCAUGGCGCGGUGAAUACGUUCCCGGGCCUUGUACACACCGCCCGUCAAGCCAUGGGAGCCGGGGGUGCUUGAAGUGCGUCGCCGUGAGGCGCGCCCUAGAGCAAAACCGGUGACUGGGGCUAAGUCGUAACAAGGUAAC